RNAcentral lists this transfer RNA (48 nucleotides) under Lepidolejeunea bidentula. Its description in RNAcentral is "partial tRNA-Phe". It matches the Rfam family "tRNA", at positions 1 to 46 of the family's 71-position model. From Rfam's summary of the family: Transfer RNA (tRNA) molecules are approximately 80 nucleotides in length. Their secondary structure includes four short double-helical elements and three loops (D, anti-codon, and T loops). Further hydrogen bonds mediate the characteristic L-shaped molecular structure. tRNAs have two regions of fundamental functional importance: the anti-codon, which is responsible for specific mRNA codon recognition, and the 3' end, to which the tRNAs corresponding amino acid is attached (by aminoacyl-tRNA synthetases). tRNAs cope with the degeneracy of the genetic code in two manners: having more than one tRNA (with a specific anti-codon) for a particular amino acid; and 'wobble' base-pairing, i.e. permitting non-standard base-pairing at the 3rd anti-codon position. Lineage: Eukaryota; Viridiplantae; Streptophyta; Jungermanniopsida; Porellales; Lejeuneaceae. The record is from RNAcentral. RNAcentral also lists the same sequence under 38 other names.
GCCGGGAUAGCUCAGUUGGUAGAGCAGGGGACUGAAAAUCCUCGUGUC